Molecule: long non-coding RNA, 996 nt
Filed under: Mytilus galloprovincialis (Mediterranean mussel)
Lineage: Eukaryota; Metazoa; Mollusca; Bivalvia; Mytilida; Mytilidae
Source: RNAcentral
CAUGUUUUGAGCUUGUAACUAAAUAGAAAACUCAACUAGCAUAGUUAGAAGGAUAGCUUCAGAAACAUAUGUAUGUGUGUGCUCAGAUAGAAUGUAAUACUACUAUCCGUAAAAUAAUUCAUUAUUUUAUCACUUGUAUGAUUUUUUUAAUAUUAUUAGAAUUUACUAUUUUGCUUUUUGUCUAAACAAUAGUACUUGGGACAGGGGAGAUAAUUAGUGUUGAUUGUCUCCCCUACACAUGGACAAAAACUCACUUAAGUAAAUUUCAUUAUUAUAUUUAGAACAGGAAAGGUAUAUCUUGAAGAAUAAUAACUUGCUCAUGCACCUAAAAGAGAAGCAUAUAAGGACUCGAGUAUAUAAAUAGUGUGGUGCACAGUGUAUAGAACCAAAAGAAAUUUUGAAAAACAUAGCAAAUAAUAUUUAUUUUUACAAUAUACAAUGUGUUUGUUGUGCAAACAUUAAAGGUAGUGAAAUAGGCAUAAUGAUGACAUCUAUUAAUUUAUAAUAUACGAGCUUAGUAGAAAUGCCCUGCUAUAUUUAUAUCUUUUCUAUAUUAAGUAUCAUAUUACUUGGAAAUAUUGUAAACAGCAUUUAUAAGAAAAGUAUUACUGUAUUUAUAUAAUAUAAGUUGAUUGGCAUAUGAUAUCUAUACCUUUUGUAUUUCGAUAUUUCCUGGGCUAUUUUCUAUAUCACUAAUUUGAUUUUAAACAUUAUACACAGAUGAUGACAGAAAAAUGCAACAUAACAAUAAAAAAAAAGACAAUAUACAUGUAUCAAAAUAACAUUUCUCUGUGGCUAAGGGAAGCAACUCAUAUUGAUAUGUUACAUACACUUUCAUAUGAAAAACAUCCACUUUUUAUCCUUUCAUUUAUGAUAUAUUCGGAAAUUGAUUUGAUAUUGAUAUUCGAAACAAUUUGUGCAAACAGCAGCUAGUACUGAACACAUACAGAAAAAUUUUAUGCAUACUUUAAUUGAAUUCAUCAUCUAAAUUAUUUU